This 253-nucleotide ribosomal RNA is filed under the name uncultured bacterium. RNAcentral describes it as "partial 16S ribosomal RNA". It matches the Rfam family "Bacterial small subunit ribosomal RNA", at positions 524 to 776 of the family's 1533-position model. The record is from RNAcentral.
UACGGAGGGGGCGAGCGUUAUUCGGAAUCAUUGGGCGUAAAGCGCGCGUAGGCGGCCCCGUAAGUCCGCUGUGAAAGUCAAAGGCUCAACCUUUGAAAGCCGGUGGAUACUGUGGGACUAGAGUACGGAAGAGGCGAGUGGAAUUCCUGGUGUAGCGGUGGAAUGCGCAGAUAUCAGGAGGAACACCAAUAGCGAAGGCAGCUCGCUGGGACGUUACUGACACUGAGGCGCGAAAGCGUGGGGAGCGAACAGG